AUUGAACGCUGGCGGCAUGCCUUACACAUGCAAGUCGAACGGUAACAGGUCUUCGGGUGCUGACGAGUGGCGAACGGGUGAGUAAUGCAUCGGAACGUGCCCAGUUGUGGGGGAUAACUGCUCGAAAGAGCAGCUAAUACCGCAUACGACCUGAAGGUGAAAGCGGGGGAUCGCAAGACCUCGCGCAAUUGGAGCGGCCGAUGUCAGAUUAGGUAGUUGGUGGGGUAAAGGCCUACCAAGCCGACGAUCUGUAGGUGGUCUGAGAGGACGACCAGCCACACUGGGACUGAGACACGGCCCAGACUCCUACGGGAGGCAGCAGUGGGGAAUUUUGGACAAUGGGCGCAAGCCUGAUCCAGCAAUGCCGCGUGCAGGAAGAAGGCCUUCGGGUUGUAAGCUGCUUUUGUCAGGGAAGAAAUCCUCUGGGUUAAUACCCCGGGGGGAUGACGGUACCUGAAGAAUAAGCACCGGCUAACUACGUGCCAGCCGCCGCCGUAA
RNAcentral lists this ribosomal RNA (498 nucleotides) under uncultured bacterium. Its description in RNAcentral is "partial 16S ribosomal RNA". It matches the Rfam family "Bacterial small subunit ribosomal RNA", at positions 30 to 523 of the family's 1533-position model. The record is from RNAcentral.